GUGAGGGAGGAGGAAGAGGUGAGGGAGGAGGAAGAGGUGAGGGUGGAGGAAGAGGUGAGGGUGGAGGAAGAGGUGAGGGAGGAGGAAGAGGUGAGGGAGGAGGAAGAGGUGAGGGAGGAGGAAGAGGUCAGGGAGUGUCACUACAGACCCGGGUUCGAUCCCAGGCUGUGUCACAACCGGCUGUGACCGGGAGUCCCAUAGGGCGGUGCACAUUUGGCCCAAUGUCGUCUGGGUUAGGGGAGGGUUUGACUGGGGAGGGCCUUACUUGGCUCAUCGCGCUCUAGCGACUCUUUGGCCUGCC
Molecule: long non-coding RNA, 301 nt
Filed under: Salmo salar (Atlantic salmon)
Lineage: Eukaryota; Metazoa; Chordata; Actinopteri; Salmoniformes; Salmonidae
Description: lncRNA (ENSSSAG00000113078.1)
Source: RNAcentral